Molecule: transfer RNA, 90 nt
Filed under: Termitomyces sp. T159_Od127
Lineage: Eukaryota; Fungi; Basidiomycota; Agaricomycetes; Agaricales; Lyophyllaceae
Description: tRNA-Lys
Rfam family: tRNA
About the family: Transfer RNA (tRNA) molecules are approximately 80 nucleotides in length. Their secondary structure includes four short double-helical elements and three loops (D, anti-codon, and T loops).
Source: RNAcentral
GCCCGCCUAGCUCAAUCGGAUAGAGCGUCAGACUCUUAUGUUUGCAGGCUGGGUAUCUGAAGGCUGCGAGUUCGACCCUCGCGGUGGGCU